CAGCCGCCAGGUAAUACGUAGGGUGCAAGCGUUAAUCGGAAUUACUGGGCGUAAAGCGUGCGCAGGCGGUUAUAUAAGACAGAUGUGAAAUCCCCGGGCUCAACCUGGGAACUGCAUUUGUGACUGUAUAGCUAGAGUACGGCAGAGGGGGAUGGAAUUCCGCGUGUAGCAGUGAAAUGCGUAGAUAUGCGGAGGAACACCGAUGGCGAAGGCAAUCCCCUGGGCCUGUACUGACGCUCAUGCACGAAAGCGUGGGGAGCAAACAGGAUUAGAUACCCCCGUAGUCCCUGUCUCUUAUACC
Molecule: ribosomal RNA, 301 nt
Filed under: uncultured bacterium
Lineage: Bacteria
Description: partial 16S ribosomal RNA
Rfam family: Bacterial small subunit ribosomal RNA
Source: RNAcentral